UAGGAAGUAGUGUAUAGGAAGCACCUGGAAUUUUGAUUUCCUGAGUAUGGGUUCAAUUCCCUUCUUUCUAG
RNAcentral lists this transfer RNA (71 nucleotides) under Osteobrama cotio cotio. Its description in RNAcentral is "tRNA-Gln". It matches the Rfam family "tRNA". Rfam says of the family: Transfer RNA (tRNA) molecules are approximately 80 nucleotides in length. The record is from RNAcentral. Lineage: Eukaryota; Metazoa; Chordata; Actinopteri; Cypriniformes; Cyprinidae.